CCCCUCCCCUUCUCGGUCUCUCCCUCCUACACUUUUUCACUCCCUCGACCCCUUUCUCCUCCCAAACCCUCCUGACCUCCUCAGACUCCGCAAGGGGGUUUGGGAGCGAGAAGGAGAGGGACACAGAGGAGUCUUUGUCAUUUGGGGGUGCGCUGCAGGUUUAGGUAACUUUGAACCAACUAGGGAACUUCGGAGAUUUCUCAGAGGAUUAGGAGAGAGAGGGGCAAAAGACACUCGCACGUGUAGGGCUUAUGUGGCACAAAAACAUCGAGUAUUCGCACACUCGAGGACACAUUCAUCCCUUACCCCCGGUGAACACCAUAAAAGUUGUCUCGAAGUAAUUCUUUAUAACAUAUAUGUCUAUAUAGGCAUAUCGCAGCAUGUGUCUAUAAAUCAGGUUCAACUUUCCAAGGAGAUUUGGUUCAAAGACUUAUCAAGAUUUCUCUUAACCUUCUAGGAUGAAAUUUCCUCUCGCCUAAUUAGGGUCGUCUUACAUCCAAAGCAUCGCAGCCUAGGACCAGACAGCUCAAGAGCACCCCACCCUGCCUAAGCUUGGUUCUGCAGUUUUUCCUCCCGCCGGCUGAGUUCCCUUGCUCGGGGGAAAGACUGGGGCCGCCGUCUCUUUCUUCUCUUCCUCCCUUUUCAUUUCCCACCUUCUAGACCCCCUUGGGUCCCCCACCUCCCAGGUUCUGGAGGGGAAACCUAGGCCGCGCAAACUUGCCUACCCCAAACCGGGCUUUCCUUUGAGCUGCGCACUGCUGAGGACGGAAUCGGCGCGUCCUGGAGCUGCGCUCUGCGCGGGAGUUGGGAGCAACGAUCCCCGAUCAGGAGUGCUCCCAGCAAGACCAGAAGACCAAUGGAUUAGACCAAGCCCACAUUAGUCACAGGCAUCCUGGAAACCAAAAGCUGAUCUGUCUAUAAGUGCAAAGGGAAAGGAGGCUGAUGUCUUAUACUGGAGUCCAUAAACUACUUUAAAAACAAUUUUUAGCUGGAAAAAUCUACAUGAAUUGAUGCGGAGUGAAAUAAGCAGAACCAGAAGAACAGUGUACAGGAACAGCGAAAUUGAGGGAUGACCAACUGUGAAAGACUUGGUUCCUCUCAGCAAUCCGAUGAUCCAGGACAAUUCUGAAGGAUUUAGGACAAAGAAUGCUGUCCAUCUCUAGAGGAAAAACUAUUGGAGUCAAAUGCAGAUUAAAGCAUACUAUCUUCCACAUUUGUAUACUUAUAGUUUUAUUUGGGGGGUUGAUUUUAUACGAGAAUUAUCUUACAACAAUGUCCAAUAUGGACAUAAAUUUUGCAUGAUAAUACAUGUAUAACCCAGAUCAAAUGGCUUACCCUCUCCAAGAGGAUAGAGGGAUGGAAACUAUUUGGAUCUUAUACUUUUAGAAAAUCUAUGUUGAAAAUUGUUAUUACAUGUAAUUGGGAAAAUAAAAUAUCUUUGAAUAAAAUUAUUUAAAACUUU
Long non-coding RNA from Monodelphis domestica (gray short-tailed opossum), 1462 nucleotides. RefSeq lists it as uncharacterized. The record is from RefSeq and is a predicted model, not a curated record. Lineage: Eukaryota; Metazoa; Chordata; Mammalia; Didelphimorphia; Didelphidae.